GCUGUCCUUAGUACGAGAGGACCGGGAUGGACAUACCUCUGGUGUACCAGUUGUCGUGCCAACGGCAUAGCUGGGUAGCUAUGUAUGGACGGGAUAAGUGCUGAAAGCAUCUAAGCAUGAAGCCCCCCUCAAGAUGAGAUUUCCCAACUUCGGUUAUAAGAUCCCUCAAAGAUGAUGAGGUUAAUAGGUUCGAGGUGGAAGCGUAGCGAUACGUGGAGCUGACGAAUACUAAUCGAUCGAAGACUUAAUCAAUUU
RNAcentral lists this ribosomal RNA (255 nucleotides) under Staphylococcus chromogenes. RNAcentral's name for it is "partial 23S ribosomal RNA". It matches the Rfam family "Bacterial large subunit ribosomal RNA", at positions 2671 to 2925 of the family's 2925-position model. The record is from RNAcentral. Lineage: Bacteria; Bacillati; Bacillota; Bacilli; Caryophanales; Staphylococcaceae.